GGUUGUGGCCUUGAGCCGUGGCUUUCGGAGCUAACGCGUUAAGUAGACCGCCUGGGGAGUACGGUCGCAAGAUUAAAACUCAAAUGAAUUGACGGGGGCCCGCACAAGCGGUGGAGCAUGUGGUUUAAUUCGAUGCAACGCGAAGAACCUUACCUACUCUUGACAUCCAGAGAACUUUUCAGAGAUGGAUUGGUGCCUUCGGGAACUCUGAGACAGGUGCUGCAUGGCUGUCGUCAGCUCGUGUUGUGAAAUGUUGGGUUAAGUCCCGCAACGAGCGCAACCCUUAUCCUUGUUUGCCAGCGAGUAAUGUCGGGAACUCCAGGGAGACUGCCGGUGAUAAACCGGAGGAAGGUGGGGACGACGUCAAGUCAUCAUGGCCCUUACGAGUAGGGCUACACACGUGCUACAAUGGCGCAUACAGAGGGCGGCCAACUUGCGAAAGUGAGCGAAUCCCAAAAAGUGCGUCGUAGUCCGGAUUGGAGUCUGCAACUCGACUCCAUGAAGUCGGAAUCGCUAGUAAUCGUGGAUCAGAAUGCCACGGUGAAUACGUUCCCGGGCCUUGUACACACCGCCCGUCACACCAUGGGAGUGGGCUGCAAAAGAAGUAGGUAGUUUAACCUUCGGGGGGACGCUUACCACUUUGUGGUUCAUGACUGGGGUGAAGUCGACAGGGGUAACAA
Molecule: ribosomal RNA, 680 nt
Filed under: Vibrio sp. E6(2011)
Lineage: Bacteria; Pseudomonadati; Pseudomonadota; Gammaproteobacteria; Vibrionales; Vibrionaceae
Description: bacterial SSU rRNA
Rfam family: Bacterial small subunit ribosomal RNA
Source: RNAcentral